This 1610-nucleotide ribosomal RNA is filed under the name Butyrivibrio sp. DSM 10294. RNAcentral's name for it is "partial 23S ribosomal RNA". It matches the Rfam family "Bacterial large subunit ribosomal RNA", at positions 1252 to 2925 of the family's 2925-position model. The record is from RNAcentral. Lineage: Bacteria; Bacillati; Bacillota; Clostridia; Lachnospirales; Lachnospiraceae.
GAAACCGUACCGAAAGGAGCGGCGGAGCGCUGUGAAGAGAGAAUGCCGGAAUGAGUAGCGAGAUGGAGGUGAGAAUCCUCCAGGCCGAAUAUCCAAGGAUUCCAGGGUAAAGCUGAUCUGCCCUGGGGAAGUCGGGACCUAAGCUGAGGCCGAGGAGGCGUAAGCGAUGGACAGCAGGUUGAUAUUCCUGCACUUAUGUAUAUCAGAACUGUGGGGACGCAGGCAAAAGGGUCGAGCCGGGGAAGGAAGAACCGGUCCCGCAAGGGGGAACGAACUAUAAGUAGUGAAGCGACAGAUAUGACUGCCAAGAAAAGCCACUAUAGCGUAUACAUAACCCGUACCGUAAACCGACACAGGUGGAUGAGGAGAGAAUCCUAAGGCCGACGGGAGAAGCAUUGUUAAGGAACUCGGCAAAAUGUCCCCGUAACUUCGGGAUAAGGGGAGCCUGAGAAAUCAGGCCGCAGAGAAGAGGCUCAAGCAACUGUUUAGCAAAAACACAGGUCUAUGCGAAACCGAAAGGUGAGGUAUAUGGGCUGACGCCUGCCCGGUGCUGGAAGGUUAAGAGGAGAGGUUAGAGCAAUCGAAGCUUUGAAUUUAAGCCCCAGUAAACGGCGGCCGUAACUAUAACGGUCCUAAGGUAGCGAAAUUCCUUGUCGGGUAAGUUCCGACCCGCACGAAAGGCGUAAUGAUUUGAGCACUGUCUCGGCAAUGCACCCGGUGAAAUUGAAGUACCAGUGAAGAUGCUGGUUACCCGCGCCAGGACGGAAAGACCCCAUGGAGCUUUACUCCAGGUUGAUACUGGGGUCCGGUACCAUAUGUACAGGAUAGGUGGGAGACUAAGAAACGGUGACGUCAGUUGCCGCGGAGUCGCUGUUGGGAUACCACCCUUAUGAUGCUGGGCUUCUAACCAAGGAUCUUGAAACAGGUCCGGGGACAAUGUCUGCCGGGGAGUUUGACUGGGGCGGUCGCCUCCGAAAGGGUAUCGGAGGCGCUCAAAGGUUCCUUCAGAAUGGACGGAAACCAUUCGUAGAGUGCAAAGGCAGAAGGGAGCCUGACUGUGACACCGACGGGUGGAACAGAUACGAAAGUAGGACUUAGUGAUCCGGUGGUAUGAAAGUGGGAUUGCCAUCGCUCAACGGAUAAAAGCUACCCUGGGGAUAACAGGCUUAUCACUCCCAAGAGUUCACAUCGACGGAGUGGUUUGGCACCUCGAUGUCGGCUCAUCGCAUCCUGGGGCUGUAGCAGGUCCCAAGGGUUGGGCUGUUCGCCCAUUAAAGCGGUACGCGAGCUGGGUUCAGAACGUCGUGAGACAGUUCGGUCCCUAUCCGGCGCGGGCGUAGGAUAUCUGAGAGGAGCUGUCCUUAGUACGAGAGGACCGGGAUGGACGGACCGCUGGUGUAUCAGCUGCAUCGCCAGAUGCAUAAGGCUGGGUAGCCACGUCCGGAAGGGAUAAACGCUGAAGGCAUCUAAGCGUGAAGCCCCCCUCAAGAUGAGAUAUCCCAUGCGCAAGCAGUAAGACCCCUUAGAGAGUAUGAGGUUAGAUAGGCACAAGGUGUAAGCACGGUAACGUGUUCAGCUGAUGUGUACUAAUAGGUCGAGGGCUUAUCCAA